AGGAUGAACGCUGGCGGCGUGCUUAACACAUGCAAGUCGAACGAUGAAGCCGGAGCUUGCUCUGGUGGAUUAGUGGCGAACGGGUGAGUAACACGUGAGUAACCUGCCCUUGACUCUGGGAUAAGCGUUGGAAACGACGUCUAAUACCGGAUACGACGCGCGAAGGCAUCUUCUGCGCGUGGAAAGAUUUCGGCAAGGAUGGACUCGCGGCCUAUCAGCUAGUGUGAGGUAACGCCACCAAGGCGACGACGGGUAACCGGCCUGAGAGGGUGACCGGCCACACUGGGACUGAGACACGGCCCAGACUCCGUACGGGAGCGAGCAGUGGGGAAUAAUUGACACAAUGGGACGCGAAGCCGUGAUGCAGCAACGCCGGCGGGAGGGACGACGGCCCGUUACGGGUU
RNAcentral lists this ribosomal RNA (404 nucleotides) under uncultured soil bacterium. RNAcentral's name for it is "bacterial SSU rRNA". It matches the Rfam family "Bacterial small subunit ribosomal RNA", at positions 26 to 424 of the family's 1533-position model. The record is from RNAcentral.